GACGAACGCUGGCGGCGUGCCUAAUACAUGCAAGUAGAACGCACAGUUUAUACCGUAGCUUGCUACACCAUAAACUGUGAGUUGCGAACGGGUGAGUAACGCGUAGGUAACCUGCCUGGUAGCGGGGGAUAACUAUUGGAAACGAUAGCUAAUACCGCAUAAUAUUAAUUAUUGCAUGAUAAUUGAUUGAAAGAUGCAAUUGCAUCACUACCAGAUGGACCUGCGUUGUAUUAGCUAGUAGGUGAGGUAACGGCUCACCUAGGCGACGAUACAUAGCCGACCAGAGAGGGUGAUCGGCCAAACUGGGACUGGGACACGGCCCAGACUCCUACGGGAGGCAGCAGGAGGGAAUCUUCGGCAAUGGACGAAAGGCUGAACGAGCAACGCCGCGUGAGUGAAGAAGGUUGUCGGGUCGUAAAGCUCUGUUGUAAGAGAAGAACGGGUGUGAGAGUGGAAAGUUCACACUGUGACGGUAUCUUACCAGAAAGGGACGGCUAACUACGUG
RNAcentral lists this ribosomal RNA (505 nucleotides) under uncultured bacterium. RNAcentral describes it as "partial 16S ribosomal RNA". It matches the Rfam family "Bacterial small subunit ribosomal RNA", at positions 28 to 507 of the family's 1533-position model. The record is from RNAcentral.